CCUACGGGAGGCAGCAGUGGGGAAUAUUGGUCAAUGGGCGAGAGCCUGAACCAGCCAAGUCGCGUGAGGGAAGACGGUCCUACGGAUUGUAAACCUCUUUUGUAAGGGAGCAAGGAGCGACACGAGUGGUGCGGCGAGAGUACCAGAAGAAAAAGCAUCGGCUAACUCCGUGCCAGCAGCCGCGGUAAUACGGAGGAUGCGAGCGUUAUCCGGAUUUAUUGGGUUUAAAGGGUGCGCAGGCGGAAGCGGCAAGUCAGCGGGAAAAAUGCGGGGCCAAACCUCGCCGAGCCGUUGAAACUGCUCUUCUAGAGUGGGCGAGAGGUAGGCGGAAUGCGUGGGGUAGCGGUGAAAUGCGUAGAUAUCACGCAGAACUCCGAUUGCGAAGGCAGCAUACCGGCGCCCAACUGACGCUCAGGCACGAAAGCGUGGGGAUCGAACAGGAUUAGAUACCCGAGUAGUC
This 460-nucleotide ribosomal RNA is filed under the name uncultured bacterium. RNAcentral's name for it is "partial 16S ribosomal RNA". It matches the Rfam family "Bacterial small subunit ribosomal RNA", at positions 338 to 795 of the family's 1533-position model. The record is from RNAcentral.